RNAcentral lists this ribosomal RNA (270 nucleotides) under uncultured archaeon. RNAcentral describes it as "partial 16S ribosomal RNA". It matches the Rfam family "Archaeal small subunit ribosomal RNA", at positions 477 to 747 of the family's 1478-position model. The record is from RNAcentral.
CAGCACCUCAAGUGGUCAGGAUGAUUAUUGGGCCUAAAGCAUCCGUAGCCGGCGCUGUAAGUUUUCGGUUAAAUCUGUACGCUCAACGUACAGGCUGCCGGGAAUACUGCAGCGCUAGGGAGUGGGAGAGGUAGACGGUACUCGGUAGGAAGGGGUAAAAUCCUUUGAUCUAUUGAUGACCACCUGUGGCGAAGGCAGUCUACCAGAACACGUCCGACGGUGAGGGAUGAAAGCUGGGGGAGCAAUCCGGAUUAGAGACCCGAGUAGUCC